Molecule: long non-coding RNA, 3523 nt
Organism: Xyrauchen texanus (razorback sucker)
Lineage: Eukaryota; Metazoa; Chordata; Actinopteri; Cypriniformes; Catostomidae
Exons: 3
Source: RefSeq, a predicted model, not a curated record
CAUGUUGCAAGUUGAGAUGAGAUAACCAGUCUUCAGCCUUUUGCCUAAAAUAAAAAUGAGGCAUUUUUCAGUCUCUGUAUUCAGUCUCUGCUGAAUACGUAAAAUCUAAAUAUAGAAAGGGAUGCUGAAAAAUUAUUCGGAGGGUUGUUCGUGGAGGAUGAUCUGUAUUCUCAUAGGCAAUGGGUGUGUAAGACUGUGAGUCUGUGGUCGAAGAGGGACAUCUGACCACCACAUUGAGCGAUGAGACCCAGAGCAGAGCUUUGACAACCAAGAAAACGUGCAGGAAUCUGAUUGCAGGUAUGUCCAGUCAACUCAAAGUCGGAGGUAUCCUGCUCAACACUUCUGCAGAACACAAAGAUUUUAAGAAGAAUAUCUCAGCUAGGUCCAUGCAGUGCAAGUGAACGGUGACCACAACUUUGAAGCUCCAAAAAGCACAUAUUGGCAGCAUACAAGUAAUCCAUAAGACUCCAGUGAAUUGGUUUAAAUAAAUAUAUUGGUUUUCUAAAUAUAUGUACUUUUUUUACAAUAAAUCUUGACAGCAGCUGUCUCCUUGGCAUUUAUUUCAAGCUUGAUUACACUUCCUAGUACCAUCUAGCGCUCUGCGCAUGUGUCAAGCACAAGGAAGUAUAAUCGAGGUUAAAAUCAUGAUUGUGCCUAGAGACUGCAUUGUCAAGAUGUCAUGGAAAAGGAGUUAUAUUUAGGUCUGUUCUCACCCAAAAUCGAUUAGAUUGCUUCAGAAUACAUGGAUUAAACCACUGGAUUCGUAUAGAUUACUUUUCUGCUGCCUUUAUGUGCCUUUUGGAGCUUCAAAGUUUUAGUCACCAUUCACUUAAAGAGCUGAAAUAUUCUCCUAAAAAUAUUUGCUUUUGUUCUGCAGAAGAAAGAAAGUCAGACACAUCUGGGAUGGCAUGAGGGUGAGUAAAUGAUGAGAGAAUUUGUAUUUUUAGGUGAACUAUCACUUUAAAAAUGUCCUGGAUUGAAAACUAGUUGAGCUCUAUCGACGACCACAUCGGUCACAUGGUCAAUUACCACACAUGAUACCUCAUUUUGUGGAAACAAGCAAGAUUGCUUUUACAGUAAUGUACUUUAAGGGGCAAGGCAUUCCAAAGGAUUUAAAAGCAGAAAUGUGCAGCUUGUACAAAAAUGUGUGUUAUUUAAAAUGUAAAGUCUAAAUCAAGAGCAGAGUUUUUCUACAUUUAGUCAUUUAGCAUACACUUUUAUCCAAAGUGACUUCCAAAUGAGGAACUUAUCAAGCAAUUUGCCAUAAAAAGUUCAACAAAGUCUACACUGCCAAGUUCUCAAGGUGGCAGCAGUAGUAUAGGUGCUAGUGCAGAAAAAAGAGAUAGAAGUAUAUAUUUUUUGUGUACAGUAAGUGCAAUUAGUGUGGAUUGGUCAAGUGCUUGCUGAACAGCUGUUUCCAGCUGGUUCUUGAAUUUUGAGAUGGUAGUAGCUGAUCGUGUGGAGGUUGGAAGUUAAUUUCAGCACAGUGGAACAGAGACUCUUGGAACGCUUUGUGAUGGGACCACCAGGUCUUUUUUUCUUUGCAUUAAUUAUCAUAUAUUAGUCCAUAAACAGUGAUGGCAACUGAGUCUUGGUUCCUUUACAAUGCUCUAUUUGUAAAUAUUCACCAAAUCAAUCUUUUUUUGGCCUAUAUAUAUUCACCAGAUGAAGGGUUUCGGCCACGAUGGAAAUAAAAAAGUCACAAAGCCGCUCAUGGAUCCAUUUGCCUUCAUAAGUGUUGCCAUAGAGACGUGGUCGUUCAAGGACAUGAAUCACUCAUAGUAGAAUCUGCGAGUUAUCUCAUUAUUAAGAUAUUUCCAACAUGACAUGAAAGCAGAAUGACCAACAGUUAUGUAUGUCCUUGUAAUAUUUGCAUACUGAAUAGUGACUGGGCUUCCUACUUGCAUCUAUUUAACCUGCUAUUGCCACCUUUACGCUUUAAAUUAUGUGUUCAUUCUCGUGCAUAGCCAACAAACACAUGCUGAGUGGCUUUGAUGCAGUAUUUAAUUUAUGUGUUUUUAGGCCCGCAUUAAAUACUCUUUUUGUGCAUUCUGCCAGAUUGGGAAAGCACCUGAACAGUCAUGUCGUAAAACCAAAGAGACUAUCCAGAAGCGGAUACAUGAAAAAACUUGUGUAAACUGGGUCAAGAGCUGCCAUGGCUGAGAGGGCGAAAAGUUGAGCCAAACACGGUGGCCACGCAAGUGGAUGACAUCCUAAAGAACGGCAGGGCAUUGCUCAUGAGAGCCAUUCGAAACUAUGAAGAACAACUAAAAGAUGAACUCCCAGAAACACAAGUGGGAAACAAUGAGAAUGACCCAUUUGGAAAACACCCAACAGAUUCAAACCACCCCGAUUCACCUUCCACAAAGGCACCUGAGUCAGAAGUUACAUAUCCCAAGCAGAGUACCCCACGAAUAGAGAGACCUCAGAUUGUGAGCUAUCAAUUGCAGUAAAAGGCACUUGUUUUUACUUCUCUGCGUGAAGAGUCGCAAACAGCCGCGAGUGGACACUCCUCAUUUGGAAGUGACUGGAGAUGAGGAAAUAUCGGACCGUGAAAUGGAAUUGUAUAUUAAAUCUCAGGUUGAGAUCAAAAUGUAUUUAAAAGCUCAGAAAGAGCUGAAAGAGGCGGAACGGGUUCACACUUUGAACUAAAGUCGCAUUAUUUACAUUAAGAUUCAUCAUUCCUGGUGUAACAAAAACAAACAUAAUGAUGUUGUAGUGGGAAGGUUCACACAAAAAUGAUAGUUCUCGCCAUUUACACCCAUAUGACUUUCUUUCGUGGAACACAAUUUCGUGGAGCAUUUUUUAAUAGUAUCCUGGCCGCUGUUUUCCAUAUAAUGAAAGUUGAUGGGAACUAGAGCUGUAAAGCUUUAAAAUGACAAAAAGGACCAUCAAAUGAUUAUUAAAGUAGUCUAUGUGAUUCAUGAGCAAGAAGUAUUUUGAAGCCUUAUGAUAGCUUUAUCACUGAGCUAUUUGUCACACAAAGCAAUUGAAUAGGCCACUAUUAUGGUACUUUUUUGACAGCUCCAGUCUCCAUUCAUUUUCAUUGUGGAAAGAAGCAGCGAGGAUGUCCUUUAAAUAUUCACCUUUUGAGGUUGAGCAAAUGAUGACAGAAUUGAAUAUUUUGAAUAGUGCCUUUUGUCAGAAAGUAAAUUAUUUCCUCACUGGAGCCUAAAGCUUCAUAUUACUUUGUCAGUGUUGUGUAAUUUUCACUCAAAUGACUUUGGAUAACUGCAGCCUCCAAAUUCUAAAAUCUGUUUUCAUAUACAAAGCAAAUGUAUUUUCCCUUGUGCAUUGUCCUUUUGAAUGUAUCAUUCCAGGAGAGUUCAUUUCAGGGAGACCUUGAUUUUAAUAUUGCCAAGUCACAGCUGUUCCUGCUGCCAUUGUGUCUGUGAUAGCAUUAUUAGUACGCACUGAUUUCAUUCUUCGUUUGCUUGAGGCUGUAAAAACAGACAAAUAAAAAUGUUCCUCAGUUAUAUGACCCUGACAAUGCAAUAGAAAGGCUGUCAUGAUAAUUAAAAGA